RNAcentral lists this small RNA (425 nucleotides) under Pan troglodytes (chimpanzee). RNAcentral's name for it is "processed transcript". The record is from RNAcentral. Lineage: Eukaryota; Metazoa; Chordata; Mammalia; Primates; Hominidae.
GAGACUUCCCUCUAGAAUCCUCCAACAUGGAGCCUCUUGCAGCUUACCCGCUAAAAUGUUCCGGGCCCAGAGCAAAGCUUUUAUGCCUUUGAAGUGAAGGAUGCAAAAGGAAGAACCGUUUCUCUGGAAAAGUAUAAAGGCAAAGGCUGAAGGAACUGCACAAAGAGUUUGGACCAUCCCACUUCAGCGUGUUGGCUUUUCCCUGCAAUCAGUUUGGAGAAUCGGAGCCCCGCCCAAGCAAGGAAGUAGAAUCUUUUGCAAGAAAAAACUACGGAGUAACAUUCCCCAUCUUCCACAAGAUUAAGAUUCUAGGAUCUGAAGGAGAACCUGCAUUUAGAUUUCUUGUUGAUUCUUCAAAGAAGGAACCAAGGUGGAAUUUUUGGAAGUAUCUUGUCAACCCUGAGGGUCAAGUUGUGAAGUUCUGG